Molecule: small RNA, 552 nt
Filed under: Pongo abelii (Sumatran orangutan)
Lineage: Eukaryota; Metazoa; Chordata; Mammalia; Primates; Hominidae
Description: retained intron
Source: RNAcentral
GACAGGCCAGGGCCGAUGCCACGGAGUGACCAGGGUCCCGGCAGAAUCUCUUGCAGCUGGGCAUGGGGCUGACAGGGGAAGGGGGCUGGACUGGGAAGCUGUCCUGCCUCCACAUCGCCCAGUGACCCUGGACAAAGCUUUGCCUCUCUCCGGGCGCCAUUUCCUGCCCCUUAAGGAGAGCAGAACGAGAUCUCAUCCCGCUGUGAGCUGGGGCACGGGAGGACGUGGCUACCCCAAAGCAGGCUUUGCCUGGGCUUCAGCAGUCACUAGAGGCCCCACUCCAGCCCAUUCUCCGUGGGAUGGGGCUCACCCAGCUGGGCCACAGUGACUGUGGAGGCUGCACAGUCUUGACUCUCCGGGUGCCUCAGAACUACAAAGAGCUGGAGCUGCUGCGGCAAGUUUACUACGGAGGCAUAGAGCACGAGAUCCGCAAGGACGUCUGGCCCUUCCUGCUUGGCCACUACAAGUUCGGCAUGAGCAAGAAGGAGAUGGAGCAGGUGGACGCAGUGGUGGCAGCAAGGUACCAGCAGGUGUUGGCAGAGUGGAAGGCCU